GACGAACGAUGGCGGCGUGCUUAACACAUGCAAGUCGAACGAAGUGGCGAACGGGUGAGUAACGCGUAAUCACCCUGCCCUUCAGAGGGGGAUAACAGUUGGCAACGACUGCUAAUACCGCAUACUGAAGGAGGGGAUUGCGUCUGAUUAGCUAGUGGGAGGGGUAACGGCCCACCAAGGCGAUGAUCAGUAGCCGGUCGGGGAGGAGGAAGGGCCACAUUGGGACUGAGAAACGGCCCAGACUCCGACGGGAGGCAGUAGUGGGGAAUCUUCCGCAAUGGACGAAAGUCUGACGGAGCAACGGCGCGGGAGUGAUGACGGCCUUCGGGUUGUAAAGCGCUGUUAAUCGGGACGCGGUACCGGAAUAGAAAGCCACGGCUAACUACGUGCCAGCAGCCGCGGUAAUUC
Molecule: ribosomal RNA, 408 nt
Filed under: uncultured bacterium
Lineage: Bacteria
Description: partial 16S ribosomal RNA
Rfam family: Bacterial small subunit ribosomal RNA
Source: RNAcentral